UGCCUGGUGUAGUGCAGCGCUAAGUGG
This 27-nucleotide small RNA is filed under the name Bombyx mori (domestic silkworm). Its description in RNAcentral is "ovarian small RNA-33868". Lineage: Eukaryota; Metazoa; Arthropoda; Insecta; Lepidoptera; Bombycidae. The record is from RNAcentral.